GCGAGAAAACUUUGCAAUGUGCGAAAGCACGACAAGGUUAAUCCGAGUGGUUUCUGCUAAAGAAACCUUUUGUCAGUCCUAGAAACACUAACGAAUAAGGGGUGGGCAAGUUCUGGUGUCAGCCGCCGCGGUAAAACCAGCACCUCAAGUGGUCAGGAUGAUUAUUGGGCCUAAAGCAUCCGUAGCUCGUUUUGUAAGUUUUCGGUUAAAUCCAUGCGCUUAACGUAUGGGCUGCCGGGAAUACUGCAUAACUAGGAAGUGGGAGAGGUAGACGGUACUCGGUAGGAAGGGGUAAAAUCCUUUGAUCUAUUGAUGACCACCUGUGGCGAAGGCGGUCUACCAGAACACGUUCGACGGUGAGGGAUGAAAGCUGGGGGAGCAAACCGGAUUAGAUACCCAAGUAGUCCCUGAGCGGGCUGGCAAGGCGCAU
Molecule: ribosomal RNA, 430 nt
Filed under: uncultured bacterium
Lineage: Bacteria
Description: bacterial SSU rRNA
Rfam family: Archaeal small subunit ribosomal RNA
Source: RNAcentral